GCUGCCCCAUUUACCUAAGAGAUCUAAGAGAUGGGAGAGUCGAAACGUAUGGCUCUAAUAUAGGUAAAAUCCAUUAACUAACUCUUUUAAGCUUCUAUUCUAGAUUCUUAAUACAUAAUGUGAUAAGAUUACAAUUGAUGUUUUGUAAGAUCGAAGAAACGAAAGGAAGCUUAAAGGAAGAAGUGAGCAGAAUCUAACCGUGAAGGAAUGGAUUUCGAUCGCAUUUCUCGAAGAUUAGAUUCUUGAGCUACUACUUAGAGUUAGAAUUAGAUUGCUAAGAAAGAUGUAUUAGCAUAGUUUUUCAAUGAAUUGCAUUGUAAGGACAAAAUUUUUCCGCAAUAAAAUAAAUUUUGAUUUUAUAUUAUUUAUUUAUCCUUGCAAUGGCGUAUAUGAAAAAUUGAUGUUUGAAUGUUUCUAUUAUUAGCAAUAAUGGAUUUGGUUCUUAUUUAUAUUAUUUAUGGAAAGUCGAGAAUUUACCAAAUAGGGAGAGUUUCUCAUCGCCCAAGUUUCAAUUGGACAGAAAUUUGGAAUCACGCAACUUGGUUGCAUGAUGAAUAAUAAAUUUCAUAUUUGGAAAUUAGACUAAUUCGUUGACAAAGUGUCAAGUGAAGGACUAGGAGAUCGAGCAAACAAAGUUGCGUGUCGAUCAAGUUCACCAUAAGAGUAACAAGAUAUUCAUCAUGGUUCACUAAAAUUUUUUGUAAAUAUGAUUACACUUAUAAGAAUAAGUGUAAUUCGGAAUUGAUUAAAAAGGUUUAAAUCAAUAGUAGAACGAAUAAGAAGAAUCAAGUAGGCAGAAAGAUAAAAGUUUCUCCAUUCUAAGAAGGGAGAGUACCUUUUAUGCUUUAUGAUGGGUCUUAAUGAUUAAGAACCAUAUCUCAAUUGAUCCUCCAAGUAAAUCUUAGCACAAUUGUAUGUUUAAGAAGAGGAAUCAAUGAUUGAAGAAAGUGUAAAAUCAAGAAGUCUAUCAUACUUCGUUCCAAUGACAAGUCUUAAANNNNNNNNNNNNNNNNNNNNNNNNNNNNNNNNNNNNNNNNNNNNNNNNNNNNNNNNNNNNNNNNNNNNNNNNNNNNNNNNNNNNNNNNNNNNNNNNNNNNUGGAUGGACCAUAUCGAUAUUAUUAUGAAUAUAUAAGAUUCUAUUGAGAAUGAGUCGUCAUAUGGUAAGUAUGGAAAGUUUUCCAUAUUGGGAGUUGAAUAUUGAGAAUCAAUGUCUAGAUUAGAAACUUUUAUGCAAAAGGAUGUUCAAAGGAAUGUACUUUGAGUGAGAGACAUCUCAUCUAUGGAAUUGUCUUGUAACAAUCUCCGAUAGAGGACUUUGUAAUUUCAUUGGCAAUAGUCAUUGUGACUUUAGUGCAGUGACAUUACGAAAGGAUCAUUGCAUAAAAUGUUAGAAUCUAACAUAUUCCAUAAGUGGCAAGAAUUUGAUAUUCUUUCACUUAUGAAAAGGGAUUAGGAGUUGUGAAAUGAGUAUGAUUGGAAAUGUGUUCAUUUGAUCUAUUUCACAAAGUAAGAACCAUAGGUAAACAUUGUGUGCAUGCUAAGAGCAUGGGACAAGUGUAAUAAUUCAAGUAAGAAGUUGAUUACCCGAAACAACAAAUAAUGAGUAAUCGAUAUGGUGAUAAAUAAAAGGUGUUUUAUUUAUACUCAAAGGUUUGAGGCCAUAUGGGAUUAGUAUUAUUCUUGUGUUUCACUUUGCAUGUUUUGACUUCCUGAAUAAUUUAAUUGGUUAAGAACAGUCAAAUUAUUCGAACGGGCCACAGUCGUUCAUAUGUUGGAAGUAGGUAUGAAUGAAGACUGUCGUGAAUUGGUGUGUGGAUUGUCUAAAGAGUAUUAGACAUAAGCAAAUGUUUGCUGCAACGUUCAUGAGUGCUUAUGAAUAUGAUUUGAGCAUUGGAUUAAACCCACGCUCACUUGGAUCACUUCAUGGAUUGUAUCACGAGUGAUUGGUGAGACGAUAACAUCUUAUAUUCUUGAAACCGAGAUGUGUGAGUUGUAUCUUGCAAAUCGGUUGCACAUUGAUAAUAUGUAAACGCACUAGUAACUUGGUGUUAUAAAACAUAUUGUUGUGUGUGAUUCGGUGAGUGAGUGCAAGCGAGCAUUGUAUCAAAGUUUAUCCGUUCCUUUUAUCCAAAGUAGGAUAAAAGCGAUAUCUUUGGGCCCCUCGAUGAUUUAGUGAUGACAAACGUAAAUGCUCGGCCGGGCUAGGGCUAAUUUGAUUUGUUCAAUUAGUCAGUCGUCAUAAAUCGGAAGUCGAGAAAUAGUACAAAGAGAAUGAUUAGAAAUCAUGUCUCAUACGAUAUCUAGAAUGGAGGAAUAUAUGAUCCCUUAUCUAAAGGACACGCGUAUCUGAUAGGAUCAGAGUUGACAGCGGCUUUGGAAAGCUACGAUUGCAGAUCAGGAUCUGAAGUCAUACGCAGAAUAGUUAUUAGACUUAUCCAAGUGGGAGACUGUUGGAUUAGUGUCUAAGUCCAUAACUAUUUUGGUAUGUACUUGACCCGAUGGUGCAUGGUCCUUUUGGGUUGCCUUCACCAAAGCAACUUGAUAGGAUGAAUUAUGGAGAGAAAGGAUUAAAUAUGAUUUAUUAAUAUAUUAUGAGAAUAAUAUAUUAAAGGAGAAAUCAUAUUGUUUAAUUAAUAUUAGUCAAGAAUUAAUAAGAAUUAAGUUUGUGACUAAAAGAGAUUAAUUAAACUUAAGGGACUGGAAUUGUAAUUAUAAGAUAAUUGCAAUUGGGCCAUGGAUUGCCUUAUAUUAUAAGGAUGGACGAAUUCUAUGGGGAAACCCAUUAGAAAUCGUCCAAGGCCUUUAAGGAAAGGAGUCCAUGGGUUGCUUAGGGCUUAAGCAUCCAAAUUAGGGUUUCCUUGUUAGAUAACCCUAAUAGCCUCACUAUUUAAAGAGCCCUUAUGCCCCAAAAACGUGGACAACCUUCCUUCUACGGUUUCCACAUGUUUUGGGCAGCCUCCUUCCCUUCUCCUCUUCAUCCUCUUGCUCUUGGUGAUUGUGAACCAUUAGAGGAGUGACAUUUGUGACUCUAAGCUUUCUAAAGUCAAUACAGGAAGGAUUUGAGAUUGUUAUUGCUACAUAACAAUCAAGGUAUGAUCUAAACCCUAAUUUAUAUGUUUUAUUGAUUAUCAUAUGCUAGAUCUAGGGUUUAUAGUCUUGGAUAACUUGCAUGUACAAUAAAGAAACCUAGAUCCAAGCAUUAGGGUUUGUAUGAGCACAUAGGAUGUUCUUAUGACUAAAACUCAUCAGAUACCGCCGCCUCUAUCCAAUCGCGUAUAUUAGUCUCACUUGGUCCUGAGCCUUUUGAUCCAUAUCCAGAACUGCUUGCUCUAGUAAUCAUCACCAUGCAGGAAAUAUAAAUGAGACUAGAUCAAUAUGAAUUUAUUGAGUUAUCUUGAAAUAACAUUCAAUCCUUUCUAGUUCCUUAGUAACUUUGCGACUUUUCUUGAUUCUGGUAUGGAACAUGUGCUUCCGGUAGUACGAACCCAUACUACCUUCCACACUAAUCCAUACUAGAUCCAAAAAUUGACCCGAUGUUCUAAGUCACUAAACUCUGCUAUUAAUAGGUCUUUUCACACACAUAGUGUUAUAAGGAGCUAAUUAUAUCUUUCCUACACUUUACUAGGAUUUUGUGUCACUACUGACACUUUACCUUAUGAAUAUAUACUCUAUCAAACAUAUAUUAAAAUUCCUAGGCUCUCUUUCUGGGAUUCCUUUCACUCCUCUCUACUAUUGGUUUAGGAAGAACUUCUACCAAUAUUAACUAAUUAUUUGACGAGUACAAUUGCAUGCUGCUAAAAUCAAACAGCCUGUUGACUGAAAGAUCUGACACCACGACGGUUAGACUCAGACGAGAGUUGUGUAAUAACGCCAAAUCAAGAAAUCUAAAACUAUUUAAAUUUCGAAGUAUGCAACCUAAUGUAUUUGUCGAAUAACUAAUUAAUAUUAAUAUAGGUUCUAGCCAGCAAAUAAAAAGCAAACCCCUAGGCUAUAAGACAUCUUUAAGUAUCCGACAAUUCUAUCAUGCAAUUCCUGAAAAGAUUCAUAGACUACAUACUAGCAUGCUUUUAUAACAUUUCACAUAUCGGUAAUCAUAACAAUAUGGAUAUUUUAGGAAUCACUUUCCUUUCUCAGCUUUGGCUGACUGUAUGCAUCACAUUCUUUUCUUUUUGUAGUAUUUUUUUUAUGAAAAGAUUUAUUAAUUACUCAUAUCCUUAGUUUGAGUCUGGAAUCACACGAUUCUUCAUCCAAUUAUUUCAAACCAGGGAUCUGAUACCAAAUUGUAACGUCCUGAUUUUCAACCCAAAUUUUCAUUUUUGUUUAUUCAAAUAUAUCAUAGUGUAAUUACAUUAUGCGGAAAGAUGUUGCGAAUGUGCUUGUGCAUAGUCGAACCUUGUCUUUCUUACUCAUUAAUGAAGCACCUGAAAAAUAUUUAUAAUCAAAUGUGUAAGCACGAAUCUUAGUGAGUUCCCCAAAAUAUAAUAUACCAUUAUACAUAUACCGGACCCACCCAAUAAGCAUAUAAAUGGGCCCCACCCAAACUACAUAAUUGGACCUGCCCAAUAUACAUAACAAGCCCCGCCUAAUAUACAUGACGGGCCCCGUCCGACAUACAUAACUAUAGUACUCAUAUAGAGACUCCACUUUUUGUUGAAAUAUAUUAUUCUCUAAUAGUCAAACUUAAACAUUAAUUUAUAAAAGGGUAAGUUUUGUAUAAGUUAUAUUUCAAUUCGGUGUGUUGUGUAAGUUACUAUGCAGGGAAGGAGUCUUCGGAUUAACAGGUGGAUCUUGGGUGGAUCUGGGUUUGCUCCAUGGAGCUGCUUGACACGAUAUACUUAAUGUGUUGUUGUUCUCAUUUGAUCAGAUUAUCCACUUGUUCUUGUAAUUUGUAUACAAUUCUCUCUCGUAUUAAGGUUUUCUCAGUGUAGGGUUAGAUAGAUUUGAAGAUUCUUCUUCUAUGAUGUUGAUCUUGAGGUUUAUAUAUAACCAUCUGAGAGUGAGUGUGAAUGUAGAGAGGUUUCAGUUGUAAGCUGAUGUAUGAUCGAACUGGUUUAUAGUGAAUAAUCUUUUCAAGUUGGGAAUCGUUGGUGUUUUUCACUUUCUAUACAUGGUAUCAAAGCUUCAGGCUCCGUUGUCUUCUUCGUUGAUUUUCAUCGAAGGGUUUCGUCUCCGAACAACGUCAUAAAAGGUUGUUUCUAACUCCUUUCUUUUUUGUUGUUUCUUUAUAGUUUAUGUGAGAUCUAGAGGUUUAUUUUUGAAAUCUCUGGAUCAUUUACUUAAACUGUUUUGUUUCUAGUUGAUCGUUUCGAUUUAGGGUUUUCACCUUGUGUUUUUCACAUCAGAACUGAUAUUUGUUCUUAAGAUCUUGGUACCAUGAGUCUCUUUGUGAUUUCUUGCAGGACUGAUUAAUCUAGUGCUUGUGUUGAUCACUUGCUACUUGAACGUCUGUUGAACUAUAGUCGACUGAACUUUAGUCAAUUAAUCUGUUUGUCUGAGAUAACUCUCUAGGGGUCAGAUUUUAUCACCGAUAAACCCUAAGUAGAGAACAGACAAAUAUAUUUGAUCCUUCGUUGCUUCGUCUUAAUAGCACUUUGAGGGGUUUCUUUUUCCUUUUUUAUCUCUUUUAUCUUGUGAUUGGGAGAUCAUGGAUGUCUUGUGUACACCAGUUAUUGUUGUUUGUCUCUAUUCUUGUUGAUAUUCCCCCGAUUCCACAUCAACCAAGGCAUCCAAUUGUUCAUCAAGAUCUUCCACAACAACUCUAAUAUCAUUAUCAUCAUUAGUUAAGAAUUAAGUACUUAACAACAUAACAACAUGAUCAAACCUAUAAUAAUUAACAACUUAACAUUUAAGUACUUAACAUUUAACAAAACAACAUGGCCAGUUAAGACUUAAAAUCACGAGUCUAUGAUUUAACACUAACAAUUAAGUACUUGACAUAAUAGUAGGUUCAGUUAUGUUAAGACAAUAAGAUUUAAGAUCAUGACUCAGCACAAACAACAAGUAAGAUUACUUAAACGAUAUCCUACCUGGAAAUUCACCUAGAAAUAUCAGUAAAUAUCACCGAUUUUUGCGGUUCCAAUAUUUUGGAGAGAUAUUUAACACCGCUAUUUUGAAAGGUAUUGAUAACCGAUAUCCAAUGUGGAAAUCACCUGGAAAUCGCCGAUAUUAACUUCUUAGCAUACAACACAACAUAAAAUAAACAUAUAUUAGUUAUCAGCAACCUUAUGGAUUAUCAAGAAUCCCAAUGGGCUAACAACACACCUGAUGGGUUAUUAGAAACCCUCAAGAUUAUCAACAGUCACAGUGGGCUAACAGCAUGCCCUGUGGGUUAAAAACAACCCUGGAGACAAUCAGCAGUUCCAGUGGGCUAACAACAUGCGCGAGAGUUAUUAGUGUUGGAUUAGUAUCUAAGUCCAUAACUAUUUUGGUAUGUACUUGACCCGAUGGUGCAUGGUCCUUUUGGGUUGCCUUCACCAAAGCAACUUGAUUGGAGAAAUAAAUAGAGAGAAAGGUUAUUAUGAUUUAUUAAUAUGUUAUAAGAAUAAUAUAUUAAAGGAGAAAUCAUAUUUGUUUGAUUAAUAUUGGUCAAUAAUUAAUUAAGAAUUAAUUUUGUGAUCAAGUGUAAUUAAUUAAACUAGAGGGGCUGAAUUGUAAUUAUGUGAUAGUUACAAAAUAAGGUAAGGAUUAUCUUAUAUAUAUGGUGAACGAAUUUGAGGUGUAAAUCCCUUAGAAUUCGAGUAUGAUAAGGAUUCAAGGAUUAUCUUAUUGGUUGCUUGGUGGAUAAGCAACUAGAUAAGGAUAAUGACUGAAACCCUAUCUCUACACCUAUAUAAACACCCCUAGGGUCAUGAAUUCGUGUAUCCCUUCCCAAGAAGUCUUAGAGACGAAUUCUAACCUCCCUCCUCUCUCUUUAUACCUUCUCCACUUGCUUAUGGUGUUUGUAAGCCAUUAGAGGAGUGACACUUGUGACUCUCAGCUUUCCAAGGUCAAUUCAAGGAGGAAUUGGAUUGUUAUUGCUAUAUAACAAUCAAGGUAUGUUCUUAAACCUAAUUACAUGUGAAUUCUGAUUUCCAUAUGCUAGAAUUAGGGUUUAUAGUCUUGGAUUCAAAGCAUGUACAAUAGAGAAACCUAGAUCCAAGCAUUAGGGUUUGUAUGAGCACAUAGGAUGUCUUAUGACCAAAACCCAUCAGUGGUAUCAGAGCCUAGAUUGGUUUCUAUUGUAUUGAUGCUUGAUAUAUCUAAAAAAUUCGUUUUUUGGUGUUUUGGAGGCUGGACUCGCCGAGUCCAUAGCUGAACUCGCCGAGUCCAAGGUGACUCGACGAGUCCAGGCUUGACUCGACGAGUCAACUCGUCAGAUAGAGCUUAUCUCGGGAUUUCUUGCUGUUUUUGCAUUGGGAUAGUUACCUUAUCAUGUUAGAUCAAUAUUAAUCCGAUUAUAUGAUAUAUUUGACUAUAUUUUUGAUCUAAUUGAAGAUAUUUAUCAAUUAAUAAGAUAAUUGUUUCCUUAUAAGAUAAUUGAUUAAUUAUUUUAAGUAAAUUGAUAAAUUGUUUUGCAAGAAAUCAUCAAAUAUGGAUAAUUAUGUGAUUAAAUGUUAAUUUGAAUUAUUUGUUAUUUGAUCCUUGUUGUUGUGAAAAGUUUCAUAUUUGGCCCUUUAGGUUUUAUAGUUUAAAUUUGAACCCCAAAAGUUUUGUUGUUUUGAAAUUUAAAUAGUUGAAACCCUAAUGUUUUGAAAAAGGUUUCAAAACUUGCCCUCAAGUUUUGGAAUUUAAAUUUUGAUUAAAUAGUUUAAUUUUGAUGCAUAUUUAAAUUCUAAACCCUAAUGUGUUGAAAUGUUUCAAAACUUGCCCUCAAGUUUUGGAAUUUAAAAGUUGAUUAAAAGUUUAAUUAGGAAUGUUAAAUUCUAAAACUCUAGUAUAGUUUUGAAAAAGUUCAAAUCACACCCUUAUGGUUUUAUUAAUUAAUUAAGGUGUAUAAUUAAAAGAGGUUUAAUAAAUCCAUAAAAGUUUAGGUUUACAAUUUAAUUGAAUUAAAAGUAUAAUUGUUAAAUUAGACCACCUAGUAUUUUGAAAGUAUAAAAUACACCCUAUACUAUAUAUAACAUUAAAAGUCUAACAUUAUAUAUAUGUAUGAGUAAAAGUCAGUCUUACCGUUAGUAGGCCUCAUUCACGAAGCUGGUCUAUAAGGGGUGUUUAAGGAAAUUGCCUAUAAAAUGGCGAUUGAAUGGGUAUCCACUCUUACCCACCGCACUCUUGACUAGUGGAGGGUCGUUAGCCGAACGGGUAGGAUAGGACGAAACCUUCCAUUAUAAGUAUAAUGAAUUAUUAAAGUAACUAAAUGUUUUCAUAAAAUUCCCAAUCUUAGUUACUUAGGCAAAAGUGAAUUGAUGCAAUUCCAUGAAAUUACACUUUGUGCCCUUGCGAAGACGUUAGUGGAGCGUGUGUGGUUUACCGGCACACUAAAUGGUUCUAAGCAAAGGUAGCAAAGGGUGACUCAAUGUUUGUCAUAGUUCGGUGGAGCGUGUGUGGUUUACCGGCACAUCGAAUAGGUGACUGUAACAUGUGAGGGCACCAUGUAAGUUUGCAUGGUUAUUCACACCCGCUUUGUGAUCCUCGGCAUCCCAGUCACAAACAAGAGGGGCAUAUCGAGAUUUAAACAUGCCAUUGAAAGUUCAAUGAAUCUCAAAGGAUCUAGGAGUUUUCAUAGAUUUAAAACUUAAAUUUCUUUUUCGUUUUUCAUGGUGGAAAUUAGUGAAUCGUCAUUCACUUACCUUCAAAUAUUCUGCAAUUAGGGUUACGGCAUCCCUCUCCCGAGUUGUAGAAUAUUGUGUUGGGUCCUAGCCUUAGUAUCUCAUUUGGGUGAUUUACUAAGGACUCAAUCAAUCAACUAACUUGAAUUCGUUUUCUCCCGUUUUGUAGAUGUCAAAGUUCGACAACUAUGGUCUUCCCAAAUCCCGUGGAACAAGCAUUCCACAUGAAGAUGAUAUUCCACGAUUCGAUCGAGGAACAAGAAAUCAUGCUUCACUUCCUCCUCCUCCUCCAAUUAUUCUCCCUAACCCACAAGUUCAAAGGCUUGAAAAGUUCAAGAUCACUCAAGCCCUUUUGGCAAGUAAACAUAAAGAAGGAAAGUCGGUGUGUGCACACGUCCUAGGGAUGAAGUCACACAUUGAUAGGUUAAGAAUGUUGGGAUCCGUUGUCUGUGAGGAAAUGGCUGUUGAUUGGGUUCUUCAGUCACUUCCUAACUCAUAUAGUGAGUUCGUAAGAGAGUACUAUAUGAUGAACCGCGACGUGACCCUUAUAGAUCUCACCUAUAUGCUUAUUGCUGCUGAAUCAGCAAUGGUUUGGCGCAAUAGAAAAGCAAAGUUGAUUGGUGAAUCUGCCUUCAAGACCUCUAUGGAUAUAGACAAUGGCAACGAAAGACAUGCUAUGAUCGAAAAGUUUGAUCAUAAGAGAAAGGCAAUGUCUGAAGUAGUUCCAUGUCAUGUUCCAAAAGAGUCAAUUUGCUUUUAUUGCCAAGAGAAAGGGCAUUGGAGACGAAGCUGCCCCAUUUACCUAAGAGAUCUAAGAGAUGGGAGAGUCGAAACGUAUGGCUCUAAUAUAGGUAAAAUCCAUUAACUAACUCUUUUAAGCUUCUAUUCUAGAUUCUUAAUACAUAAUGUGAUAAGAUUACAAUUGAUGUUUUGUAGGAUCGAAGAAAAGAAAGGAAGCUUAAGGGAAGAAGUGAGCAGAAUCUAACCGUGAAGGAAUGGAUUUCGAUCGCAUUUCUCGAAGAUUAGAUUCUUGAGCUACUACUUAGAGUUAGAAUUAGAUUGCUAAGAAAGAUGUAUUAGCAUAGUUUUUCAAUGAAUUGCAUUGUAAGGACAAAUUUUUUCCGCAAUAAAAUAAAUUUUGAUUUUAUAUUAUUUAUUUAUCCUUGCAAUGGCGUAUAUGAAAAAUUGAUGUUUGAAUGUUUCUAUUAUUAGCAAUAAUGGAUUUGGUUCUUAUUAUGUUAUUUAUGGAAAGUCGAGAGUUUACCAAAUAGGGAGAGUUUCUCAUCGCCCAAGUUUCAAUUGGACAGAAACUUGGAAUCAUGCAACUUGGUUGCACGAUGAAUGAGAAAUUUCAUAUUUGGAAAUUAGACUAAUUCAUUGACAAAGUGUCAAGUGAAGGACUAGGAGAUCGAGUACACAAAGUUGCGUGUUGAUCAAGUCCACCAUAAGAGUAACAAAGAUAUUCGUCAUGAUUUACUAAAGGUUUAGUAAAUAUGAUUAUACUUACAAGAUUAAGUGUAAUUCUGAAUUGAUUGAAAAAGUUUAAAUCAAUAGCAGAACGAAUAAGAAGAAUCAAGUAGGCAGAAAGAUAAAAGUUUCUCCAUUCUAAGAAGAAGGGAGAGUAGCUUUUAUGCUUUAUGAUAGGUCUUAAUGAUUAAGAACCAUAUCUCAAUUGAUCCUCUAAGUGAGUCUUAGUACAAUUGUAUGUCUAAGAAGAGGAAUCAAGAAUUGAAGAAAUGGUUAAAUCAAGAAGUCAAUCAUACUUCGUUCCAAAACAAGUCUUAGAGUUAAGAUUGUGACAUUGAGUGAAAAGUAUUAAGAAGGUUUAUAACAUUCAUCAAAUGUGGAAAGUUGUGAUGUCUUGGAUA
Molecule: long non-coding RNA, 10616 nt
Filed under: Lactuca sativa (garden lettuce)
Lineage: Eukaryota; Viridiplantae; Streptophyta; Magnoliopsida; Asterales; Asteraceae
Description: long non-coding RNA (LSAT_LNC000378)
Source: RNAcentral